Rosa rugosa (rugosa rose) is the source of this 5103-nucleotide RNA transcript. It is a transcript of the gene named pentatricopeptide repeat-containing protein At4g13650, with no coding region annotated. Lineage: Eukaryota; Viridiplantae; Streptophyta; Magnoliopsida; Rosales; Rosaceae. The transcript has 6 exons. The record is from RefSeq and is a predicted model, not a curated record.
UCGAGAUCACGUCCAGAGGCUUCGAGGUCGAAACCGAGAGCCAGCGACCCGAUCCCCAAACCCGACCAGCGCUCCACCGUCAGGCCGCCUCCGGCCGGCGCACGAGCACCAUCCUCUUCGUCUCGCUGUCGCCUACGUUAAUGUGGCCUCGGAUCAUACAUGCAGCGACUGUGAACGGAGAAUCGACGAUCCAAAGCUUGAAGAACCUCCGGCGACUCCGGCCAGCGUUUGGGGUGCGUGUGGUUUGAAAAUCACUCCUCUCUCAUCAUGCUCUACACGUUGGUGUACUUAGUUUUUGAAUUAGAUUAAGUUGUGAUGAUUUUCAUUUGUGGGUUACUCUCGGCUCCGGCACGGUUCUCCGACAUCGGUGGUUUUCCGGCACUUGUUGGCUGGGUUUCUGGUUCGACUGCAUCUAUAGGCGAGGACUGACCUUGAUUGAAGUUAAAAGUUUGGAAAUUUCGAGUUGGUGACUGUCAGAUCGUACUUCAUCACUAGUUGAGCUUCGUCGAGUUUCCGGAAAACGUUAGAGGAUCAAAAUAAGGAGGGUGGUGAAGUUUAUAGAGUGAGGUUAAUGAUGACUGUAGGCAGAUGAGUGGGAGUGGGUGUCUCAGGUCCUUGAUGCUGCUCACUGUAAACCAAUGCCACAACCCUAUGUUCUUCCAUCGCUACCGGCUUCAUUUCAGAACCAAACCCAAACCCACCUCAGUUAUCAAUCUUCGCAAGCACUUUCGUGGGAGUGUAGUCAGUUUGAGCUUGGAGGCGGAAUAUAGUAAUGCAGCCAAUGCUCGUGUUUCGGAUGAUUAUCUAGUUCAUCAAAAUGAAGGUGGUCCAAAGGGGAUCGAUUUGUUGCAUUCUAUGGAAGCACGUUGCAUUCGUGCCAAUUCUCAGACAUAUAUUUGGCUUUUAAAAGGGUGCUUGAGUUCUGGGUCUUUGUUACAUGCUAGGAAACUUCACUCUAGGAUUUUGAAGUUGGGGUUUGGUGGAGAAUAUGAAAUAAGUGACCUGUUUGUUGGUGUUUAUCUUGCAAAUGGUGAUUCAUGCAGCGCAGUAAAGGUUUUCGAUGAUCUACCAUAUAGAAGUUUAUUCUCAUGGAAUAACAUAAUUCAUGGGUUUCUUGCAAAGAAGUUGACGGGUCAAGUAUUGGGUUUCUUUUCCCGAAUGGUAGCAGAAAAUGUGCGUCCUGAUGAGACCACGUUUGCAGGAGUUUUAAGGGCGUGUGGUGGUGGUAACGCCAGUAUCCAAUAUGUGGAACAGAUUCAUGCUAGGAUUAUCCGCCAUUGUUUUGGUACUAGUUUACUUGUAUGUAAUCCCUUGAUCGAUUUGUAUGCUAAGAACGGCUCUGUGGAUUCUGCUAAAAAAGUCUUUGAUAAGUUGAAUUUUAGGGAUAGUGUUUCCUGGGUGGCUAUAAUUUCUGGCUUAUCUCGUAAUGGACGAGAAGAAGAAGCUGUUCUCCUAUUCAUCCGGAUGCAUACUUCAGGAAUUUUCCCAACUCCUUAUGUUUUCUCAAGCGUGAUUAGUGCCUGUGCAAAAAUAGAGUUAUUUGAGCUGGGUGAGCAGCUGCAAUGCCUUGUUUUCAAGGGAGGCUUUUCUUGUGAAACAUACGUAUGCAAUGCUCUUGUAACAUUAUAUUCCCGUUCAGGGAACUUCAUAUCUGCUGAACAAGUUUUCAAUACAAUGUGGCAAAGGGAUGGAGUAUCAUAUAACUCAUUGAUAUCUGGGCUAGCUCAGUGUGGAUUUAGUGAUAGAGCUCUGGAAUUGUUCAAGAAAAUGCAGAGUGACUGUAUGGAACCUGACUGUGUAACAAUUGCUAGUCUUUUGAGUGCCUGUGCAUCAGUUGGUUAUCUGUAUAAGGGGAAACAACUCCACUCAUAUGCAAUUAAAGCAGGAAUGUCAUCAGAUAUAAUCCUCGAAGGGUCUCUGCUUGAUCUUUAUGUGAAAUGCUCAGAUUUGCAAACCGCCUAUGAAUUUUUCCUUACAACAGAGACAGAGAAUGUUGUCCUGUGGAAUGUGAUGCUAGUUGCUUAUGGGCAGCAAGAUGACCUGAUCGAAUCGUUUCAUAUUUUUAAACAAAUGCAUGUUGAGGGUAUGAUUCCUAAUCAAUAUACCUAUCCGAGUAUUUUGAGAACCUGUACUUCUGUUGGAGCUCUCAAUUUAGGAGAACAGGUUCAUACCCAAGCCAUAAAAACUGGCUUUCAGUUUAAUGCAUAUGUCUGUAGCGUGCUCAUUGAUAUGUAUGCUAAGCAUGGAAAACUGGAUACUGCCCUUGGAAUACUCAGAAGACUCACUGAAGAUGAUGUUGUUUCGUGGACAGCUAUGAUUGCAGGGUACGCACAGCAUGAUUUGUUUGCUGAAGCUCUUUUACUUUUUGAAGAAAUGCAAAACCGAGGGAUUCGAUCUGACAACAUAGGAUUUUCAAGUGCAAUUAGUUCAUGUGCGGGUAUUCAAGCACUCAAUCAAGGUAGACAGAUUCAUGCUCAGUCAUGCAUAUCUGGUUAUUCGAAUGAUCUUUCCGUUGGCAAUGCACUCGUUACCCUUUAUGCUAGAUGUGGUAGAAUAUGGGAAGCCUACCAAGCAUUUGAGAAAAUUGAUGUGAAAGAUAAUAUAUCAUGGAAUGGACUGAUAUCAGGAUUUGGACAGAGUGGGUACUGUGAGGAAGCACUGCAGGUAUUUUCUCAGAUGCAUCGAGCUGGAGUAGAAGCUAAUUUAUUCACAUUUGGCUCUGCAGUCAGCGCUGCUGCUAAUUUAGCAAAUAUAAAACAAGGAGAGCAGAUUCAUGCCAUGGUGAUAAAAACUGGGAACAAUUCAGAAGCUGAGGUUUCCAAUGCUUUAAUCACAUUAUACUCAAAGUGUGGUAGUGUUGAUGAUGCGAAGAGAGAGUUUAUUGAAAUGCCUGAAAAAAAUGAGAUUUCUUGGAAUGCCAUGAUCACUGGCUAUUCUCAGCAUGGGCAUGGUAUUGAAGCACUACAUCUAUUUGAGCAGAUGAAACAACUUGGUGUGGUGCCAAGCCAUGUCACAUUUGUGGGAGUACUUUCAGCUUGUAGCCAUGUAGGCUUGGUAAGUGAGGGGCUUGCAUACUUUGAAUCCAUGAGCAAAGAGCAUGGACUAGUGCCUAAGCCUGAGCAUUAUGCUUGUGUUGUUGAUCUUCUUAGUCGAGCUGGUUCUUUGAGCCAGGCAAGAAAAUUCAUAACUGAGAUGCCAAUAAAACCAGAUUCAAUGAUUUGGAGGACUCUCUUAAGUGCUUGUAUAGCUAAAAAGAACACAGAAAUUGGGGAGGUUGCUGCCCGUCAUCUUCUAGAACUGGAACCUGAAGACUCAGCAACUUACGUUCUCUUAUCAAACAUGUAUGCAGUGGCAGGAAUGUGGGGUUAUAGGGAUCAGGCAAGGCAAUUAAUGAAGGAAAGGGGUGUGAAGAAAGAGCCUGGCCGCAGUUGGAUUGAGGUAAAGAAUUCGGUUCAUGCAUUCUAUGUUGGUGACCGGCUGCACCCACUUGCCAAUAAGAUAUAUGAAUUCUUAGGGGAUUUGAAUGAGCGGGCAGCUGAAAUUGGUUAUGUUGAGGACCGUAACAACCUCUGGAAUGACAUGGAACAACAGCAUAAAGAUCCAACAGUGUACAUUCAUAGCGAGAAAUUGGCAAUAGCUUUUGGCCUGAUUAGCCUAUCUAAUACGAUUCCCAUACGUGUAAUUAAGAAUCUCCGUGUUUGUAAUGAUUGCCAUAAUUGGAUCAAGCAUACGUCGAAGAUCUCAAAAAGAACUAUCAUAGUACGAGAUGCGUAUCGUUUUCAUCAUUUUAAAGAUGGAGUUUGCUCUUGUAACGAUUACUGGUAAGACUGUUGAAAAGGUUAAUACUUAAUAGAAAAGAAGUCUUGACACUGGGCAUUUGGAAUCACUUCAUUGUAUAUGAUUGUGGCUCUUAUUUGACUUUCCUCUUAUAGAAGACCAUGGACACUGGAACUGCUUCUUAUACAUAGGGUUUCCUAAUGUGUGUAAUGGUUUAUGUUGCUCCAAAUCAUUUUGAUCAUCUAUAAGGAUUUGAUUCUUAUCACAUCAAACUACCAUGGUAAGACUCAGUUUUUGAUAUAUAUAAUUUGAUUUGAUAAGGAUUAUUCACUUCUAUGCUCUUAUGAGUUUGGACAUAGUGAUGAUCGAGUAUAUUUUAUUAAACUGUACAUACUACUGUGGACUUGGAACUCAUCCUGACUGAAGUUUGAAACUUUAAUGUUAUCCUCUGAUCUACUUGUUAGCUUAAACUUUCUGCCAACAUGUUCAUACUUUGAUUGUGUUAAUACUCAUUUGAUUAUCAUUUCUGUGUGUGUGUGAUAGUUAUAUUGAUUCGGGAUGUAAUCCAGAUACUCCGUUCCAUUUGUAGAUUCCAUGCAGAUUAGGUGGAUGAGGGGAGACCUGGAAGUCCUUAUAGGGUCCAAAUGGCAAACGUGUAGUGCAUCAUUUUCAGUCAGGACAUGACUGUUAAUACAUUUCCACAUCCAUUAAACAAUGAAUCAGGACAAGACUGUUGGCAGAAAGUUUCAACGUGGGAAUAGCUGGAACUGGAAGACUCAGCAGCCUACUUCUCUUAUCAAAUAUGUACGCAGUGGCAGGAAUGUGGGGUUGUAGGGAUCAGACAAGGCACAACUAAUGAAGGAAACUUGUGUGAAGAAAGAGCCUGGCCGCAGUUGGAUUUGAGGUUGAGAAUUCAGUUCUUCCAUUCUGUGCUGGCGAACAACCACACUCGCUUGCAGGCAAGGUAUAUCAAUUAUUCGGGGACGGGCAUCUGAGUUUAGUUUUGUACAGGACCAUACAACCUUUGGAAGGAAACAGAAUAACAGCAUAAGGAUCCAACAGUUCUAUAUUCACAGCGAGAAAUUGGCAAUUGCUUUAGGCUUGCUUAGCUUAUUAUACGUGUAAUUAAGAAUCUCCUUUGUAAUGAUUGCCAUAAUUGGAUCAAGUACAUGCCAAUUAUCUCAAAUAGCACUAACCCAAUAUGGGAUGCAAUCAUUUUCAUCAUUUCAAAGGUGGUCUAAAGAUUACUGGUGAAAAGUUCGUCACAGGAAACAAUGUGUUUCAUAAUCUGAUAUCCUAUAAAAGACGAUAACGCAAUCUUGUCUG